Molecule: non-coding RNA, 88 nt
Organism: Mycena haematopus
Lineage: Eukaryota; Fungi; Basidiomycota; Agaricomycetes; Agaricales; Mycenaceae
Source: the annotation of a GenBank genome assembly
GCCCCAAUGGACUAAUGGUAUGUUACCCAGAUACAUUGCAUGAGGCUUAUUAUCUUGGGAGAUGAGGGUUCGAAUCCCUCUCAGGGCC